AAAAAAAAAUAAUAAUAUUGCAGUUCAUGCACAGCUCUAAUUGUAGAACCGAUACAAAAUACAGUUAUCAAAUAUCAAUUAUUAUUUUAAAGAUUUAUCAAACACUUUGAUUUACCUUUUUGGAUGCCUAUCAUCUGUCCUUGAAGAACAGAAGUAAGAUGCAGCACAAAGUGCUUGUCAACAAAUUAUACAUAUCAUGCAUUAACACAGAACUGUCGAGAAAUUUGAAAGAAGCGAUACAAGUCUACAGAGGUCAUAACAUCAAACUCUUUGAAACCGCAGAAACACAAAGCAAUGUCAAUCAGUUAUGUUUUGCAGCAAACAGUUAUCUUGAUCUAUUUUGCUUUCACAAGGUCAGCUCUAGGCCUCCAGAGCCCCAGCCUAUAUUUAUGGGCAUGGUUCAAUAUCAGCUUCCUGUGCUGGCAGGGAAUGCCUAUCUUCUUGAGCUUCAAGGUUCGAGUAACAAGAAGUUUCUGUAAGUCACCAAUCUCAGAUUCAAGC
RNAcentral lists this unclassified non-coding RNA (501 nucleotides) under Hevea brasiliensis (rubber tree). Lineage: Eukaryota; Viridiplantae; Streptophyta; Magnoliopsida; Malpighiales; Euphorbiaceae. The record is from RNAcentral.